This 447-nucleotide ribosomal RNA is filed under the name uncultured bacterium. RNAcentral's name for it is "bacterial SSU rRNA". It matches the Rfam family "Bacterial small subunit ribosomal RNA", at positions 329 to 795 of the family's 1533-position model. The record is from RNAcentral.
GCCCAGACUCCUACGGGAGGCAGCAGUGGGGGAUAUUGCACAAUGGGGGAAACCCUGAUGCAGCGACGCCGCGUGGGUGAAGAAGCGCCUCGGCGCGUAAAGCCCUGUCAGCAGGGAAGAAAAUGACGGUACCUGAAGAAGAAGCCCCGGCUAACUACGUGCCAGCAGCCGCGGUAAUACGUAGGGGGCAAGCGUUAUCCGGAUUUAUUGGGUUUAAAGGGUGCGUAGGCGGAAGGUUAAGUCAGCGGUCAAAUGUCGGUGCUCAACACCGGCCUGCCGUUGAAACUGGUCUUCUUGAGUGAGCGAGAAGUAUGCGGAAUGCGUGGUGUAGCGGUGAAAUGCAUAGAUAUCACGCAGAACUCCGAUUGCGAAGGCAGCAUACCGGCGCUCAACUGACGCUGAGGCACGAAAGCGUGGGGAUCGAACAGGAUUAGAUACCCUUGUAAC